Betta splendens (Siamese fighting fish) is the source of this 447-nucleotide long non-coding RNA. RefSeq lists it as uncharacterized. The record is from RefSeq and is a predicted model, not a curated record. Lineage: Eukaryota; Metazoa; Chordata; Actinopteri; Anabantiformes; Osphronemidae. The transcript is spliced from 3 exons.
GCUGGGUCCACUCAGUAGUUAGUCUCCAGCAUUUUAAGCUCCAGCACUGACCUGUUCCAUUUGCCAGAUAGUUUUUGUCGAGCACCUGGUUUGUCAGCUUUCUAACAAUCUCCAAGGAGGUGGGAUGUGGUGAGCCAGAGAACAGAACUACACCACGUUGAUUGGAUCUGACCUGCCUCUAGUUGUGUCAGGUAUCAUCGGACUCAGAGCUUUGUGUCUGUUAUGGGCAGCCGCGGAUCCAUCCUGCCUGUGUCCAGUCCCUGGUCCAACCUUCCUGCCUGCACUUUGUUGUUGCUUAUUGUUGUAACUGUGCUUUUCUCUCUCUCUAUCCCCUCACCCCAACUGGUUAAGGCAGAUGGCCACCCACAUACAGCCUGGUUCUGCUGGAGGUUUUUGUCUCUGCACUUUUUCUUUCAAAUAGUAAAUAAAGGCUUGCUGUAUGUAAGA